GAUUCACUACGACGUUGGUGACUGCCAACACUGUUUGUCGAUCUAUGCUUUGUCUCUAAGGGAAUCGAGAAGUGCCGGUGGCAGUAAACCGAGCUUGUACUCGGAAACUUAAAAUCGGUGCCAGCAUUCCCACCUGGUUCUUCCAGGUCGGAAACUGAGGUAAGACGGCGUCGCGGUGAAUAA
This is a non-coding RNA of Lyngbya confervoides, 183 nucleotides long. The record is from Rfam. Lineage: Bacteria; Bacillati; Cyanobacteriota; Cyanophyceae; Oscillatoriales; Microcoleaceae.